CCUUUUGUAUAAUGGGUCAGCGACUUAUAUUCUGUAGCAAGGUUAACCGAAUAGGGGAGCCGAAGGGAAACCGAGUCUUAACUGGGCGUUAAGUUGCAGGGUAUAGACCCGAAACCCGGUGAUCUAGCCAUGGGCAGGUUGAAGGUUGGGUAACACUAACUGGAGGACCGAACCGACUAAUGUUGAAAAAUUAGCGGAUGACUUGUGGCUGGGGGUGAAAGGCCAAUCAAACCGGGAGAUAGCUGGUUCUCCCCGAAAGCUAUUUAGGUAGCGCCUCGUGAAUUCAUCUCCGGGGGUAGAGCACUGUUUCGGCAAGGGGGUCAUCCCGACUUACCAACCCGAUGCAAACUGCGAAUACCGGAGAAUGUUAUCACGGGAGACACACGGCGGGUGCUAACGUCCGUCGUGAAGAGGGAAACAACCCAGACCGCCAGCUAAGGUCCCAAAGUCAUGGUUAAGUGGGAAACGAUGUGGGAAGGCCCAGACAGCCAGGAUGUUGGCUUAGAAGCAGCCAUCAUUUAAAGAAAGCGUAAUAGCUCACUGGUCGAGUCGGCCUGCGCGGAAGAUGUAACGGGGCUAAACCAUGCACCGAAGCUGCGGCAGCGACGCUUAUGCGUUGUUGGGUAGGGGAGCGUUCUGUAAGCCUGUGAAGGUGUGCUGUGAGGCAUGCUGGAGGUAUCAGAAGUGCGAAUGCUGACAUAAGUAACGAUAAAGCGGGUGAAAAGCCCGCUCGCCGGAAGACCAAGGGUUCCUGUCCAACGUUAAUCGGGGCAGGGUGAGUCGACCCCUAAGGCGAGGCCGAAAGGCGUAGUCGAUGGGAAACAGGUUAAUAUUCCUGUACUUGGUGUUACUGCGAAGGGGGGACGGAGAAGGCUAUGUUGGCCGGGCGACGGUUGUCCCGGUUUAAGCGUGUAGGCUGGUUUUCCAGGCAAAUCCGGAAAAUCAAGGCUGAGGCGUGAUGACGAGGCACUACGGUGCUGAAGCAACAAAUGCCCUGCUUCCAGGAAAAGCCUCUAAGCAUCAGGUAACAUCAAAUCGUACCCCAAACCGACACAGGUGGUCAGGUAGAGAAUACCAAGGCGCUUGAGAGAACUCGGGUGAAGGAACUAGGCAAAAUGGUGCCGUAACUUCGGGAGAAGGCACGCUGAUAUGUAGGUGAAGUCCCUCGCGGAUGGAGCUGAAAUCAGUCGAAGAUACCAGCUGGCUGCAACUGUUUAUUAAAAACACAGCACUGUGCAAACACGAAAGUGGACGUAUACGGUGUGACGCCUGCCCGGUGCCGGAAGGUUAAUUGAUGGGGUCAGCGCAAGCGAAGCUCUUGAUCGAAGCCCCGGUAAACGGCGGCCGUAACUAUAACGGUCCUAAGGUAGCGAAAUUCCUUGUCGGGUAAGUUCCGACCUGCACGAAUGGCGUAAUGAUGGCCAGGCUGUCUCCACCCGAGACUCAGUGAAAUUGAACUCGCUGUGAAGAUGCAGUGUACCCGCGGCAAGACGGAAAGACCCCGUGAACCUUUACUAUAGCUUGACACUGAACAUUGAGCCUUGAUGUGUAGGAUAGGUGGGAGGCUUAGAAGUGUGGACGCCAGUCUGCAUGGAGCCGACCUUGAAAUACCACCCUUUAAUGUUUGAUGUUCUAACGUUGACCCGUAAUCCGGGUUGCGGACAGUGUCUGGUGGGUAGUUUGACUGGGGCGGUCUCCUCCUAAAGAGUAACGGAGGAGCACGAAGGUUGGCUAAUCCUGGUCGGACAUCAGGAGGUUAGUGCAAUGGCAUAAGCCAGCUUGACUGCGAGCGUGACGGCGCGAGCAGGUGCGAAAGCAGGUCAUAGUGAUCCGGUGGUUCUGAAUGGAAGGGCCAUCGCUCAACGGAUAAAAGGUACUCCGGGGAUAACAGGCUGAUACCGCCCAAGAGUUCAUAUCGACGGCGGUGUUUGGCACCUCGAUGUCGGCUCAUCACAUCCUGGGGCUGAAGUAGGUCCCAAGGGUAUGGCUGUUCGCCAUUUAAAGUGGUACGCGAGCUGGGUUUAGAACGUCGUGAGACAGUUCGGUCCCUAUCUGCCGUGGGCGCUGGAGAACUGAGGGGGGCUGCUCCUAGUACGAGAGGACCGGAGUGGACGCAUCACUGGUGUUCGGGUUGUCAUGCCAAUGGCACUGCCCGGUAGCUAAAUGCGGAAGAGAUAAGUGCUGAAAGCAUCUAAGCACGAAACUUGCC
Molecule: ribosomal RNA, 2209 nt
Filed under: Escherichia coli
Lineage: Bacteria; Pseudomonadati; Pseudomonadota; Gammaproteobacteria; Enterobacterales; Enterobacteriaceae
Description: partial 23S ribosomal RNA
Rfam family: Bacterial large subunit ribosomal RNA
Source: RNAcentral